AUACAUGGGAGAUCACUCUCUCACUCCCCCUCAGCCCACUCUCUCUCACCCUCACACUCUCUUGCUCUCUCUCUCUAGAAGAGAAGAAGAAAAAGAAGGGGAAGAAGAAAAGAGAAGGAAAAGAAGGAAGAAAAGGAAGGAGAAGAAGAAGGAGAUCAACAAGAGGAAGCUUUUGGACCUCUCCUUCAUCCUCUCUUCUCUUCUUGAAACUACAACAAGAGGUAGGCUUCUAACCCUAGCUAUGAAACUUAGGGUUUUUGGGUUUUAGCUCUUUGGAUGGGA
RNAcentral lists this long non-coding RNA (282 nucleotides) under Ananas comosus (pineapple). Its description in RNAcentral is "long non-coding RNA (ACOM_LNC016900)". The record is from RNAcentral. Lineage: Eukaryota; Viridiplantae; Streptophyta; Magnoliopsida; Poales; Bromeliaceae.